UGAGUAACACGUAUCCAACCUGCCGUCUACUCUUGGACAGCCUUCUGAAAGGAAGAUUAAUACAAGAUGGCAUCAUGAGUCCGCAUGUUCACAUGAUUAAAGGUAUUCCGGUAGACGAUGGGGAUGCGUUCCAUUAGAUAGUAGGCGGGGUAACGGCCCACCUAGUCUUCGAUGGAUAGGGGUUCUGAGAGGAAGAUCCCCCACAUUGGAACUGAGACACGGUCCAAACUCCUACGGGAGGCAGCAUG
RNAcentral lists this ribosomal RNA (248 nucleotides) under uncultured bacterium. RNAcentral's name for it is "partial 16S ribosomal RNA". It matches the Rfam family "Bacterial small subunit ribosomal RNA", at positions 107 to 353 of the family's 1533-position model. The record is from RNAcentral.